UUAAAAGGAAAACACUAUCAUAUUUAAAUAACAGAUACUAUGACUUUUUUCUUGUUUCAGAAUUCCAGAUUUAAUUGUGAUACUGCUUCAUCUCAAGUUACAAAUUCUGUGUUUAUGAGCAUUUUAGUGUAUUUAGUAAUAUUAAUCUGGAAAACAAACAUUUAAUUCAAUAUUACCUGAACUGCUUCAAAAGUGUAUUUUCUAUGUGCUCAUCAAAAGACAUUUGCAAAUACUUGUGUUAAGAGGGAAGAAUGUUGCAUAGUUUACACGUACAUCAAGGCAUAAUACAUUUAAUUAUAGAUUUUAGAUUUAAUUUAUUUAAGAUACCACUUUGUUUCCACAGUAUAUGACCUCUAGCUGAAGUAGGUUGACCCUGGCCAGCAACAAAACACUUGCAGUUUCACAGUCACUCCCCUUUCCUAAUGGAUAGGUAAAAAUGUAAAGGAGAAAACAAGAAGACUCAUGGACAUGCAGUCAAUGAAACAAAACCUCCCUUACUGAGAAAUAAACUACUAUGAACUUCAUAAUUUCAGUAGGAUCAGAAUACUCUGACUGUUCAAAACAAACAUUGUUCAAUAGAUUUAUAUCAGAAAUUAAGGAAAACACAGCACACUUUUAAUCUAAGUUGCACAGAGGAAAGAGGGUGGAUGGGUUGUUUAUAUAUUUUUUUCUUCUUAUUGCAAUUGGGAAUGAGACUUUUUUAUGUCUACAUAAAAUAUAAAUUAACUGUAACACUUAUAAAUAACAAAAUUCUCAAAGGCCUCUCAGCAAAUUGCCUACAAAGUGCAAUUCUUAGAAACCAGUAAGUUAUAUACGCCUGGUUCCUGUGGGCUUUUCUGUUUGGUGGUAAAUUUAAAACUUUUGUCCCUCCUAGGGAAAUAUAUAUAUAUAUAUUGUGCCUGCAUAGUAGCUCUGCAGUUUGUUAAAACCUGUAGUAGGAAUUCGUCUCUUCUUACUGCUGACAGGUGACAGGACAAGGGGAAAUGGCCUCGAGUUGUGCCAGAGUAAGUUUAGGUUGGAUAUUAGGGAACACUUCUUUACAGAAAGGGUUGUUAAGCACUGGAAUAGGCUCCCCAGGGAGGUGGUUGAGUCAAUAUCCCUGGAUGUGUUUAAAAACUGUUUGGAUGUGGUGCUCAGGGAUGUGAUUUAGCAGAGGAUUGUUAGUUAGGGUAGUAUGGUUAGGUUGUGGUUGGACUUGAUCCUGAAGGUCUUUUCCAACCUGAGUGAUUCUAUGAUUCUAUGAUUCUGAUAGAAAAAAACACUUCACCUGAACAUGGACCUCAUAUAAUGAACAUUAUGUUAACACAAGGGGGAAAAAUAAUAAUUACAUUACAAGCUUUAUCCAGAAGUGAUACCACUUAUCAGUCAGAGCAUAU
This 1376-nucleotide long non-coding RNA is filed under the name Gallus gallus (chicken). RNAcentral's name for it is "lncRNA (ENSGALG00010014609.1)". The record is from RNAcentral. Lineage: Eukaryota; Metazoa; Chordata; Aves; Galliformes; Phasianidae.